Molecule: ribosomal RNA, 512 nt
Filed under: uncultured bacterium
Lineage: Bacteria
Description: partial 16S ribosomal RNA
Rfam family: Bacterial small subunit ribosomal RNA
Source: RNAcentral
GAUGAACGCUGGCGGCGUGCCUAAUACAUGCAAGUCGAGCGAAACUUCUUUAUCACCGAUUGCUUGCACUCACCGAUAAACGGUUGAGUGGCGAACGGGUGAGUAACACAUAGGCAACCGGCCCAAAAGGGGGAGAUAACACUUUGAAACAUAUUCUAAUACCCCAUAACCAUAAUUAGCGCAAGGUAACUAUGUAAACACUUACUAUUCUACCGCUGUUGGAUUGGCCCGCGGCGCAUUAGCUAGUUGGUAGGGUAAAGGCUUACCAAGGCAAUGAUGCGUAGCCGAAUUGAGAGGUUGAUCGGCCACACUGGGACUGAGACACGGCCCAAACUCCUACGGGAGGCAGCAGUAGGGAAUCUUCCGCAAAGGGCGAAAGCCUGACGGAGCAACGCCGCGUGAGUGAAGAAGGUCUUCGGAUCGUAAAACCCUGUUGUUAGAGAAGAAAGUGUGUGAGAGUAACUGUUCACGUCUCGACGGUAUCUAACCAGAAAGCCACGGCUAACUACGUG